CCUAAAUGAUUUGCACUUUGAAAUAAAUAAUUUUUGUCAAAUCUUUUAGGAGAAUACUAAGACAUCAUUAAAUAACAUCAAUGACGCUGUUACAAUUGUGGUACAGGAAUCAAUUUAAAAAAAUUUGUAAUAUGCUUUUAGGAACUUACAGAAAGUUUACUUAACUAUUAGAAUUCACUUACUUGGCAUAGAUUGUUGCAGUGAUUUUUGAUUCCUUAAAUGUAAAAUGUUUAGGAGCAUCAAUUAUCACUUCAAAAUUAGGUACCUAAAACUGGGUACUCAGACAAUUCGAUUUCUGCAUUAAAAAUUCCAUGGGUUACAGAUGGAUGAUUCCAUUGUUUAAUUCUAUUUCCUUUACCAUCCUAUAAAAAUGUAAUGUAAAUUAAAAAAUUUGUCUUAUUUGUUACAUACACUGUAUUUAUUUAAAAAUACUUACUACAAUAUAGAUGUUUACUAAUCUUUCAAGUGUUGGCCUAAGUCUGGAGUCCAACAAAAUACAUCGAAACAUAACUUUAUUUCCCGGUUUAUAAAUUGCUCUAUCAGUUUGAAUAAAAACUGAAUAACUUUUAGGAAUAAAUUCUAU
Long non-coding RNA from Bombus impatiens (common eastern bumble bee), 583 nucleotides. RefSeq lists it as uncharacterized. The transcript has 2 exons. NCBI's taxonomy places the organism in Eukaryota, Metazoa, Arthropoda, Insecta, Hymenoptera, Apidae. The record is from RefSeq and is a predicted model, not a curated record.